RNAcentral lists this long non-coding RNA (935 nucleotides) under Mytilus galloprovincialis (Mediterranean mussel). The record is from RNAcentral. Lineage: Eukaryota; Metazoa; Mollusca; Bivalvia; Mytilida; Mytilidae.
AAUAUUUACUAGAACACACCCGCGAAAUCGCGGGCAUUCAGAGCGGAGUUAAAAGUAUGUAAAGUUUUGUUAGAAGUUUUAUACCUCCUCCUUCAUUUCCAAAAUUCCCAAUUUUUGGUUUUCUAUCAAUUUCAAUAUGAACAUACAUUUAGUAUGUUAUGAACAUUUAAGUAAGGAGCCUGUAGUUCAGUGGUUGUCGUUUGUUUGUGUGUUACAUAUUUGUUUUUCGUUCCUUUUUUGUACAUAAAUAAGGCCGCUAGUUUUCUCGUUUGAAUUUUUUUACAUCGUCAUUUCGGGGCCUUUUAAAGCUGAGUAUGCGGUAUGGGCUUUGCUCGUUGUUGAAGGCCGUAUGGUGACAUAUAGUUGUUAAUUUCUGUGUCAUUUUGGUCUCUUGUGGAGAGUUGUCUCAACAUGGCAAUCAUACCACAUCUUUUUUUUUUGUAAUCAAUGAAUUUUGUAAAAUAUUUAAUGAAUGGAGAAUUUCAGAAAAGGUAUCAAAAGUUCACAUGAAUAAUUUUAGCGCUUAUCUGUAUAUUACUAUAUAAAUAAAGUGUAUUUACUUUCAAUUCUUAGUUUAGUAAUCGAUCCAUGGUGGUAAUUGACAUAGUAUACAGACCCUCUCCAUUUAAUAAACUCUGAACAGAAUUAAAAUACACUUUAUUCGUACUAUUUGUUUGUUCAAAGUAUACAGAAAAACGCAAACCGGAAGUAUAAUCUGACUUAAAAUUUCGUCCAAUGACGGGACAAUAUCCGGAUGCCUUUUUUCUCGUUUUUCUCCCAAAAUGACUCAAUCUGAAUAAUCAUAUGAAUGGAUGACAAAUGCGACUAUGCACUGUACAUAUAGGACACAGAGUCGUGUUGAUUAAUUUAUUGUGGAAAGAAGAGAAGCGACACCAAAAAUGAGGUCUUCUCGUUUAAUAGUAUAGAAGUGUUUU